UGAGUGGUUUACUGACGGAGUUGACAAGGGAAGCUUGCUGCUGCAUCUUUACAGUUGCGAUCAGUAGUUCUCUUGCAGCUUGUUGAUCGCCCCGAAUCGUCUGAGUUUUGCCAUCUUUUCCGGGAAACUUGAUGCAUUGAUGAUAAGUCGAAGGGACGGCUUUCAUGGAAUGCAGCCAUGGUGUUCCGAGUAUGGCAUUAUAGGGUGCUUUGGCGCGGAUGACGGAGAACUUGACGGUGCGGGUUAUACCGCCUGCGUAAACUGGAAGGCGAAUUGUCCCUAUCAUUUGCUCCGAGGCUCCGUUGAAGCCGGUGAGCGUGCGAGAGGAAGGCUUCAUAUCUUUUAAAUCAACUCCCAUUUUGUCGAGUGUGUCGCGAAAGAUGAGA
This 386-nucleotide long non-coding RNA is filed under the name Brassica napus (rape). RNAcentral's name for it is "long non-coding RNA (BNAP_LNC025038)". The record is from RNAcentral. Lineage: Eukaryota; Viridiplantae; Streptophyta; Magnoliopsida; Brassicales; Brassicaceae.